RNAcentral lists this ribosomal RNA (497 nucleotides) under uncultured bacterium. Its description in RNAcentral is "partial 16S ribosomal RNA". It matches the Rfam family "Bacterial small subunit ribosomal RNA", at positions 28 to 507 of the family's 1533-position model. The record is from RNAcentral.
GAUGAACGCUGGCGGCGUGCCUAAUACAUGCAAGUCGAGCGAACAGAUAAGGAGCUUGCUCCUUUGACGUUAGCGGCGGGCGGGUGAGUAACACGUGGGUAACCUACCUAUAAUACGGGAAUAACUCCGGGAAACCGGGGCUAAUGCCGGAUAACAUUUAGAACCGCGUGGUUCUAAAGAGAGAGAUGGUUUUGCUAUCACUUAUAGAUGGACCCCCGCCGUAUUAGCGAGUUGGUAAGGUAACGGCUUUCCAAGGCAACGAUACGUAGCCGACAUGAGAGGGUGACUAGCCACACUGGAACUGAGACCCGGCCCAGACUCCUACAGGAGCGAGCAGUACGGCAACUUGCGCAAUGGGCGAGAGCCUGACGGAACAGCGCCGCGUGCGUAAUGAGGGUCGUCGGAUCCUAAAUCUCUGUUAUCAGGGAAGAACACAUGUGUAAGUAACUGUGAGCGUCUUGACGGUAACUAAGCAGAGAGCCACCGCUAACUACGUG